ACGCGGGGGUUCGGCAUUCGAGAUAACACCCUUGCCUUUUUGAGUACCUUUUCGUUUCCUCGGCAGGCUCGCCUGCCAACGGGGACAACUAAAACGCUUUGUAAUACCUGUAAUUGUCUGAUAUAACAAGCAAAAAUUAAAACUUUCAACAACGGAUCUCUUGGUUCUGGCAUCGAUGAAGAACGCAGCGAAAUGCGAUAAGUAGUGUGAAUUGCAGAAUUCAGUGAAUCAUCGAAUCUUUGAACGCACAUUGCGCCCUUUGGUAUUCCUUAGGGCAUGCCUGUUCGAGCGUCAUUUAAACCUUCAAGCUCAGCUUGGUGAUGGGUGACUGUCCUCUCCUCGCGUUAGGACUCGCCCCAAAUACAUUGGCGGCCGGUACAUUGGCUUCGAGCGCAGCAGAAACGCGGUCUCGAGUCCGGUGGACUUGCUCCCAUAAGCAUCUUCGGCGAGUGAAGCGGCAAUAGCUCAAAUUUGAAAUCUGGCCCUUUCAGGGUCCGAGUUGUAAUUUGUAGAGGGUGCUUUGGCGUUGGCUGUGGUCUAAGUUCCUUGGAACAGGACGUCGCAGAGGGUGAGAAUCCCGUAUGUGGCCGCCAGUCUUCGCCGUGUAAAGCCCCUUCGACGAGUCGAGUUGUUUGGGAAUGCAGCUCUAAAUGGGAGGUAAAUUUCUUCUAAAGCUAAAUAUUGGCCAGAGACCGAUAGCGCACAAGUAGAGUGAUCGAAAGAUGAAAAGCACUUUGGAAAGAGAGUCAAAAAGCACGUGAAAUUGUUGAAAGGGAAGCGCUUGCAGCCAGACUUGCCUGUAGUUGCUCAUCCGGGCUUUUGCCCGGUGCACUCUUCUAUGGGCAGGCCAGCAUCAGUCCCGGCGGUUGGAUAAAUGCCUGUUGAAUGUACCACUCCUCGGGGUGGACUUAUAGCCUCGGGCGGCAUACAACCAGCUGGGAUUGAGGUCCGCGCAUCUGCUAGGAUGCUGGCGUAAUGGCUGUAAGCGGCCCGUCUUGAAACACGGACCAAGGAGUCUAACAUCUAUGCGAGUGUUUGGGUGUCAAGCCCGAGCGCGUAAUGAAAGUGAACGGAGGUGGGAACCCCUCGGGGUGCACCAUCGACCGAUCCUGAUGUCUUCGGAUGGAUUUGAGUAAGAGCAUA
Molecule: small RNA, 1143 nt
Filed under: Pleosporales sp. TK35
Lineage: Eukaryota; Fungi; Ascomycota; Dothideomycetes; Pleosporales
Description: eukaryotic LSU rRNA
Rfam family: Eukaryotic large subunit ribosomal RNA (bases 405-1143)
Source: RNAcentral